GUGAAUCAUCAAAUUUUUGAACGCAAAUUGCACUCUCUUCGGAGAGUAUGCCUGUUUGAGGGUCAGCCUAAAAAAAAAUUGACAUUGUUGCUGUUUUGCGGGGACAUUCGUCGGAAAUUGGGUCAUCUUAAACCUUUGGGUUUUAAGCGGCUUAAAAUUUUUUUUACGGUUUCAAGAACGUUUUUAAGAUUUACUUCUUACACGUUUAAGGUUAUCGAUCUUUAUUAGA
Molecule: unclassified non-coding RNA, 229 nt
Filed under: Glomus sp.
Lineage: Eukaryota; Fungi; Glomeromycota; Glomeromycetes; Glomerales; Glomeraceae
Description: partial contains 5.8S ribosomal RNA and internal transcribed spacer 2
Rfam family: 5.8S ribosomal RNA (bases 1-65)
Source: RNAcentral